UACAGAGGUCCCAAGCGUUGUUCGGAUUCACUGGGCGUAAAGGGUGCGCAGGUGGUCGGGUAAGUCUGACGUGAAAUCCCGCAGCUUAACUGCGGAAUGGCAUUGGAUACUAUUCGGCUAGAGGGUUGGAGGGGGGACUGGAAUUCUCGGUGUAGCAGUGAAAUGCGUAGAUAUCGGGAGGAACACCAGUGGCGAAGGCGGCGACCUGGACCGAUACUGACGCUGAUGUGCGAAAGCGUGGGGAGCAAACAGG
Molecule: ribosomal RNA, 253 nt
Filed under: uncultured bacterium
Lineage: Bacteria
Description: partial 16S ribosomal RNA
Rfam family: Bacterial small subunit ribosomal RNA
Source: RNAcentral